Molecule: long non-coding RNA, 1500 nt
Filed under: Oncorhynchus kisutch (coho salmon)
Lineage: Eukaryota; Metazoa; Chordata; Actinopteri; Salmoniformes; Salmonidae
Description: lncRNA (ENSOKIG00005011295.1)
Source: RNAcentral
AUGGCCUUCGAGUAUGAGCGCCUAACAGGCUCCGUCAGCUCCAGUGACAUACCCAGCAGCGACGUACCCACCUACAGCAGCCCCUCCUCCUCGGACUACUACCGGACAUCCUCCUUCAGCACUAGCCUGCAGUCCUCCUCCCCUCAGAUAGGGCUGUCCAGCCCUACGCCUACACCUCCCAUCAUGCCGUUCAAACCUACCACCGGUGUCAUCAGACAGAGGACAUUGACCGUGAGCUUUCCUGAAGAGGCUGAUCGAGAGUCUGAGAGAGAAACUGAGGGAGAGGCAUCUCUCUCAGUGGACCUGGCUGCCUCCAGUAGCCCAAGCCCUUCUGAAAACCAAUCCUCGCCUUUGGAGACAAGUCCUCUGUGCUUGAGGUCUUCAGGAACCAGUUUUGAAUCUGCUGGAACCCAUUUGGAAUCUUCUGGAUCCAGUCUGGGGUCUUUAGGAACCGACCUGCUGGUGAAGGUCGAGGCCGUUAUUCAGGAGGUGAUAAGGGGAGCCGUAGAUAAACUAGAGGCCGAGAGGAACAACAGGCACGGAAGAAGGGUGAGAAACAUGAGUCCUGAGGAAAAGGCUGAGAGUGUCUCCAAGAGUACUGAGGCUGCAUCAAGAGAGAGUAGUGGUGAGAGGAGAGUCAGGGGAGUGGGGAGCAAUGGUAAGAAGGUGGAGACUGUUGCAGAUAGAGUGGCAAAGACAGAAGUGUCGACUAUUGCAGACACAACAGCCAAGACUGAACUUCUGACUAUUGAAGAUACAAUGGCUAAACUGGAGAUAAAGAAAGUCGAGAUUAUUGCUGAUGUGAUACCCAAGACUGCAAGUAAAGAGGUGGCCACUACGAUGGAAAAGGUGGAGGCUAAGGAAGAGGAUAAUCUUGCAGAUGUGAUGGCAAGGACUGAAUUUACAGAGGUGCCAAUUAUUGCAGGUACAACUGCCAAGAAUGAAGUUCAGGAAGUGGAGACUAUUGCAGAUGUAACGGAAAAUACCAAAAUUAAGGAAGUAGUUGAGAUUAACAAGAGGGACACCCAAGAGGCAAAGGUAAAGGCUAGUUUUGAGACAGAGGUCGAGCUGACUAAAAGGUUGGACAUUGACACGAAAACGGAAGAAGAAGCCAAUGCUGAGAUGAACCCAGAUGAACAAGACAAUACCAUAUCGGAGAAUAACAACAGAUGCUUUGAGCUUAUUCUAACAGCUAGAGAGGCCAAGAUAGAAGUCAGAGAUGAGAAAAUAGAAUGCAAGGUAGAACUCAGGGAUGAGAAUAUUGGUGCAAAGAAUGAAACUAUGGAUGCAACGGAUUCUGUUGAGAAUGCACAUGCUGGGAAAAGUGAACACAGCCACGUAAGCCCUGAGCUAUUUCAGUCAUCAUCAGACAAUGAUGAAGGCGGUCCUUCGAUGUUCCCCAUGACCAGCAUGUUGAAGAGCGCUGCCCUGUCCUCGGACCAGGUUGAUGAGAUCCUAGACAAGGUAAUGUAUUGUACAGUCCAUUGUUUUUAUGCAUAG